Molecule: ribosomal RNA, 264 nt
Filed under: uncultured bacterium
Lineage: Bacteria
Description: partial 16S ribosomal RNA
Rfam family: Bacterial small subunit ribosomal RNA
Source: RNAcentral
GUCCCGGCCCUAAACGGUGCGCAUUUGCUGUGAGCGGAAUCGACCCCGCUCGUGGCGGAGCUAACGCGUUAAAUGCGCCGCCUGGGGAGUACGGCCGCAAGGUUAAACUCAAAGAAUUGACGGGGCCUGCACAAGCGGUGGAGUAUGUGGCUUAAUUCGAUGCAACGCGAAGAACCUUACCUGGCCUUGACAUGUAGGUAGUAGGAGCCUGAAAGGGUAACGAUUCCGCAAGGAAAGCCUGCACAGGUGCUGCAUGGCUGUCGU